GCGGUCGUGGUGAAGUGGUUAACACACUGGAUUGUGGCUCCAGCACGCGUGGGUUCGAUCCCCACCGAUCGCCCCA
Molecule: transfer RNA, 76 nt
Filed under: Anaerovibrio lipolyticus
Lineage: Bacteria; Bacillati; Bacillota; Negativicutes; Selenomonadales; Selenomonadaceae
Also listed under: 3 other names
Description: tRNA-His
Rfam family: tRNA
About the family: Transfer RNA (tRNA) molecules are approximately 80 nucleotides in length. Their secondary structure includes four short double-helical elements and three loops (D, anti-codon, and T loops).
Source: RNAcentral